UCUAUAAUUUAACUGUCAUUUGAAUUCUCAAAUAAGUUAUACAGAGAGACAAAUUUUUCUUCAUAUGAUUUAGUGGUGAACGGCAGUGGGAGCAGGCAGGGUGAUGAGCAGUAAAACUGGUAUUCUAACUGUUGUCUUCUUCCAAGGGUGUUUUAGUAAGUGCACAGAAAAGAGCUUUCAUUAUGCAUGCCACAGGCAGUCAGAGUGGUAAUAGUAGCUUGUAGGAUAUUUGUCCAAUUUUUUUAUUUUACCUUCAAGGUGUUGAUCUCUUUUUGCUUGAGCCAAAAGACGUGCUGUGGCGAGGGGGCUUUCAUCCAGGUUGAAGUAGUGAUACAAGUAUUUCAUCAUGCCAUGCUUCACUGCUGUUUGUCACAGCAUUAACAAGCUUGGCAGUACAGUUGCCGUCGGGCUGGAAGGGACCUUUUAUCCAUCCAAGGAUUCAGCCAUCCCAGUUUAUGUUGCUGUCAAAUCAUGCAUGGAUGUGUCUCUUCAUGUUGUUUGUAGGUAGUCUGAGUCACUUGACUCCACGGAGCCUGCAGACUGCUCUGUGGUCCUUUCUGAACUCACUCACUGUCACUGAUCUGGCAUUGACCCUCAGUUUAGUGUCCAGGUGGCUGCUGAGCACGCCUGUUGUGACUACAGUUUAAGUCUCGAUACGACACGACUGGCUUUGUGUCAGUUUACUGGCUCAGUGGAGUGAAACCAAACAGCUGAUAGUUGCACUCACAGGGAAGGGUUUAGGAACAUACAGUGCAUAUUUGGUAGCCAAAAAGUCUUAGGAAAUGUAUGCACAUAUGCUUUCAUAUGUACAUGUGCAGUAAAUACUGAAAAAAGAAACACACCCUAAUACACAUACAUAAAAGAAACAAACAGAAUUUAAUUAGCUUUAAGGGACCUUAUAUGUCACUGGCAUUGCCCAAAUUCUUCACGAUAAAAUUAAAUUUCAAGGACACUGUUUUCAUCUAUAUAGCUCAAGACAAGGGACAAACCUAAGAUUAUUGCAGCAGGGACUAAACAUCCCACAAGUAACGACCAUUUCCACUAAAAACUGCAACAAUAAGUCGAUUUAAAGCAGGGGUAGGCAGUUUUUUUUAUUUUUGGGCAUCACUGGACAACAAUUCCAUAAUAACCUUUCAGCAUGUUGUAAUUCAAGUGGUCUGGCAGAAUACUAGACUUCAGCACCUCCUCUUGGCUCUGUAUUCAGGCUUCAGAAAAUCCAGCCUAGGAUGGGAGAUUCAAGCCACUCGCGUGUCAUUUCAGAGAGCAGGCAUUCCUAUUGGCUGUUCUACAAAUGCAGAUGCACAUACAUGUCCCUUCAGAUGGUCUGAUUCAAUGGCGGAAAAUCCUGGAGAAAAAUUCGUUAUUCCAGCAUUGGCAAAAACUGCCUACACUGCAAAGCAACCCCAAAAAAAGGAUGCCAGACUUAUCAAAAAGAUCAAAAGACAGACUGACUACAAAAUUAAUAAAACGCGUAUUAAUAUAUAUCGGCGAAGUAUUUCAGAGAUGAAGAGAACUUUGCGAUCGCAUUGGCCUGAAGUUGGACUCCGAGAUUGCCGUUCUGCUUCCUGGACAGGUAAGCUGCUAACUUCAUUUUUCCUGUAAUAUCUAAAUGUGUUGUUUACCUCCGGUGCACAUCAGAAACUUCCUGAAACUUGGGCUCAUUGGGCUCAUGCAGGGCUGUGUGCAGUUAGACUCGCAGUGCGUUUAUGGCAGCAGCAGGUGAGCUAAGCGACAUGACUUCCUUUUUAUUUCUUGUAAUAAGGAUCAACCAGUCACAUCUAUGUAAACUAAAUCAAAAGCCUCCUGGUCUGCUGCCACUGUCUUGCUGUCACAAGCAUGAGAGCAGAAUUGAUUCAUGGUCUGUGAGUUAUAUGUUUUCAUGUCCACCAGUUUUUUUAGUAUCCACUAAUUAGACCCCAGGACUCUGGUUGUCGGUCAUCAGUUUGUGCGGCUUGUGUCGCUCCCUUUGAUUUAUACAAUGAUGUAGCCACGGUCAGGAGUAAGUUUUACUCCUUAUCAGAUGUCCUGCUAGUCAUAGAGAACACACAGAAUGAAAGUAAAAACAUAACAGCUGUGAAAUUGAAAGUUGUGUAGUGUUUGUAAAAGCAAAUGAUAGCAGGUCUGCUAUCUCUACUGUAGACGUGAUGUUUUAGCAUAUGCUAUAAACUAUGCUGUGUGUGUACUUACUACAGAGAUGAAGAAAUUCCUGUCAGGAAUUCAAGAAUUGGCAGAAGAUAUUGCACUGCAACAACUGGGUACAAGUCAUUGUAGACUGGUGUUUUGCACCAUGUCACCUGCCACCACAGACCAUUGCCAGAGAGCCACAGCAACAUCUGGACCGAGCAAGAUUGCACACAGGACCCAGAUCUAAGUUCUGCAUUUUUGGUACCACAAAGUCUGGAGCAAAUAGUCCGGGAGAUGGAGCUUUUAUACUGUCGAAGUUCUCAAGGACUGCAGUUCCAUGCCAGACCUGCUGGCAUGUAACCUUUUUUUGACACCACAAGUACCACACGAUAAUUUCCAGCAGUCAAUCAGAACAGCGGCUUUCCAUCAACCUGGCAAAUGAAAAGAACAGAUAUGGACAGUACUUUGACAGUAUAUGUUAUUUUAAAGUUUGACAUUUUACAGUUGGUGAUUGUUUCAAGUAGA
Molecule: long non-coding RNA, 2649 nt
Organism: Thunnus maccoyii (southern bluefin tuna)
Lineage: Eukaryota; Metazoa; Chordata; Actinopteri; Scombriformes; Scombridae
Exons: 3
Source: RefSeq, a predicted model, not a curated record